Molecule: long non-coding RNA, 775 nt
Organism: Nicotiana tabacum (common tobacco)
Lineage: Eukaryota; Viridiplantae; Streptophyta; Magnoliopsida; Solanales; Solanaceae
Source: RefSeq, a predicted model, not a curated record
CAGCUCCCUUCAAAACCCAGCCCAGCUCUUCGAAUAUUCGUCCAAAGUUUUCCGGCCACGACGCCGGUUACCCCAAAUGACCCCAAAAUAACACCAUAGAACCGCCUAAUCUUCCUCUAUCCAACCCCCAUAAUUGUGUCCCUCAAAUAUUGCCCGAUUUGCUCGAAUUUGAACUCGAAGACUUUCCGGCCAAACCCUAAAAUGCCCAAACGCAUGCAAGUGACGCCAUAGAGUCUCUGGGCCUUCCUCGUAAUGAAUAGGUCAUCAAUCGAGCUUUGUUCCCGCCGGAGCUGGUCGUGUUCAAACUUGGAAAUUUAAUUGGAGUUUUGAAAUGAAUCAGUACACACAUGAACUCAUUGAUGAUGUAACUCCGAGAUUAAGCAUGAAAUAAAAUGUUUGGGCAGUUGCUCGCUGGAUGAGGCGUCUGUUGUUAUUCCAUUAUAAAUGAUAGUUGAAGUAUGUUUUGAGCUGAUUAACACUCGAUGAAAUUUGAAGCUGUGGAAUGUGUACUUAGCGAGGACUAUAUGGGAUCAGUAAUCUCACCUUAUUUGAUUAUAGAUUUGGUAGUUAAACACUGAAUUCAGUAGCAUAGACUUUCAGGUUAACUGUACACUCUAAAUAGUCUAGUAUGCUGUAAUGUGGUAGUGAAUAAUGUUAGUUUCCAAUCGUUAAUUGUUAGUGUUAGUUUAAAUGAGUGUUGUUAAGCAUGAAUUUGUUUCCGGUGAUCGUAAAAAAAAAACAAGUUUAAAAGAGGUCUGUGUCUCAUUUGAUUCAA